This 253-nucleotide ribosomal RNA is filed under the name uncultured bacterium. Its description in RNAcentral is "partial 16S ribosomal RNA". It matches the Rfam family "Bacterial small subunit ribosomal RNA", at positions 524 to 776 of the family's 1533-position model. The record is from RNAcentral.
UACAGAGGAUGCAAGCGUUAUCCGGAAUGAUUGGGCGUAAAGCGUCUGUAGGUGGCUUUUUAAGUCCGCCGUCAAAUCCCAGGGCUCAACUCUGGACAGGCGGUGGAAACUACCAAGCUGGAGUACGGUAGGGGCAGAGGGAAUUUCCGGUGGAGCGGUGAAAUGCGUAGAGAUCGGAAAGAACACCAACGGCGCAGGCAGCGUCCUGGCCGCUUGCUGACACUGAGGCACGAAAGCUGGGGGAGCAAACAGG